Molecule: ribosomal RNA, 449 nt
Filed under: uncultured bacterium
Lineage: Bacteria
Description: partial 16S ribosomal RNA
Rfam family: Bacterial small subunit ribosomal RNA
Source: RNAcentral
GUGGGGAAUAUUGGACAAUGGGCGAAAGCCUGAUCCAGCCAUGCCGCGUGUGUGAAGAAGGUCUUCGGAUUGUAAAGCACUUUAAGUUGGGAGGAAGGGCAGUAAGUUAAUACCUUGCUGUUUUGACGUUACCAACAGAAUAAGCACCGGCUAACUUCGUGCCAGCAGCCGCGGUAAUACGAAGGGUGCAAGCGUUAAUCGGAAUUACUGGGCGUAAGCGCGCGUAGGUGGUUCAGCAAGUUGAAGGUGAAAUCCCCGGGCUCAACCUGGGAACUGCCUCCAAAACUACUGAGCUAGAGUACGGUAGAGGGUAGUGGAAUUUCCUGUGUAGCGGUGAAAUGCGUAGAUAUAGGAAGGAACACCAGUGGCGAAGGCGACUACCUGGACUGAUACUGACACUGAGGUGCGAAAGCGUGGGGAGCAAACAGGAUUAGAAACCCGGGUAGUCC